This is a long non-coding RNA of Capra hircus (goat), 2117 nucleotides long. RefSeq lists it as uncharacterized. The record is from RefSeq and is a predicted model, not a curated record. Lineage: Eukaryota; Metazoa; Chordata; Mammalia; Artiodactyla; Bovidae. The transcript is spliced from 3 exons.
CUCCUAUAUUCCUACCUGGAGAGUCCCCAUGGGCAGAGGAGCCCAGUAGGCUAUAGGCCACGGGGUCGCAGAGAGCAGGACAUGACUGAGCACACGCGUACAUAAGUGGCUCACUGUGCUUAUCAUUCUGACACUUUAUUUCUUAUUUAAUGUUUCUUUUCCAGGAUCUGUGUGUGACCUUGAAAGGAUCGGAUACAUCCAUCCUAAGUGCUUUAGGAUCACAUGAACCUAUUACAACAUACCAACGUUCCCAUACAUAAUGGCCUUUCAGGCAUCUGUCUCUCACUGGCUGGGCUUCCUCACUUCCUGUCUCCAAAAGCACAGCCAGGUUUUACCCCGAACCUUGUCAUCCUCAAUCCCUGCGAAGCAGAAGGUGCUGCAAGCUCCAGCGCCCACAUGUGUCAGAGGAAGCAGGGACCUUCUGAAACCAUGCCUCCCCACCCCAUCCCCCACUGACCUGCAGCUAGCACUCCCCAGGCACCCACGUGCUCCAGCCACCAGCUCGGGCCUGGCUGUGGCAGCCACCCCAGGGCGCUCACCCGCAUCACACUGUCCACGGUGAAGCCCGCACCCUCUGUGCCCAGGUCCCGCAGCAGUCGCGCCAGCAGUGCCAUCUGGCUCAUGGCCAGGUGAGUUGAGGAGUUGGCUUUCAGCGGCUGGACCAGGUAAGAUGGGAUGACCUGGAGAGACUUCACUUCCUUAAACAAGGCUAUCUCCUAGAGAGACCAACAGCACCUGCUAAAUUUUACUGGAAAAUGCGAGUGGUAACUUAUUGCUAGCCGCAAAGUAAACACUGAGGGAAAAAAAUGGGAAAUAAAAAAUGACAGUGACAAAUGACAGUAAAGUCAUUCGUCCGUAAGCUCCUAUUUCUUUUUAAGAUAUGAUAACAAUUAAGAACAAAAGCCUGAAUCAUCAGAAAUAAGAAUCAUGAUCACUUAGAGAUGAAUUAAAGCUUUACAGAAAGUGUGAUUAAAACCUUAGUUUCCCUUCUUAGGAUCUCACAACCUUAAGAAAAAGAUUUUCUGAUUUCUAAAAUUCUAAAAGAAAUUAAGUCUUGCUGUAAGAACCUCCAUUUCAGUAUUUUUAAAUUUUAACCAAGCGUGUAACAGGCACAUACCCAGAUGAACUGAUCCCUGAUGGGUUGAGAUGAAAGAGGGUAAGUGCCUCCACACGCUCUACUGUCUCCACACAAGUCUUUCUAUAAUUAAGAUAUUCAUCACUUAACUAGCCAGAUGCAAGGAAAGAAAAAGUGAUAAAAUAUUAAAGGAAAAGACUCAAGAAAUGAUAAAAUAUUGAUGAAACAUGAGCUGUGACAGAAGUCUGUUUUUUGCAGGUCUGUGGCCACACCACCCAAACACCUUCUCAUUCUGGCAGCACCGUGGCUCUGCCUCUGGGCCCACGAGUGGCUGGAAACCAAUGGGAAGGAGGAGGAGGGAGGGGAGCCCCCGAGAGCAGCAGGGGGCUGCUGGGACACAUAGAUGCCGCGCACACAGGGACCCACAUGGGCCGUCGGAAGCUGGUGCAGUAUGGGAACGCCUGCACGCAGAGGACGCUCAGCAUCACUGCUGUCCCAGAGAAAGCCAGCCUGCUCAUGGCACUGGGUUCACGUUUGGAGGAGGUCACAGACACCCUGCACCUUAACCUGAGGUCUCCUGGCCCAGAUGGAUUCCUGACAAGAGGGCAAAGCACUCUCCUGUGCUGCCUGGCUCAGCGUGGGCCCCAGACUCCCAGCUGCUCACGUCUGCCUCGGCUCCCCCAGUGCCCAGGCGAGAGGAGGCGUGUUGGUGGAAAGAAUAAAAACACUUCAUCAAGACUGUGACCUGUUUAUUAUUUUUUAAACUCCAUUUUUCUAUCCUGGUCUGGCUCUCCAUAUAUUUUAUUUAUCAAAAAAUUAAAAGCCUAUGUUAAAGAAGAGAAACAAAGAAAAACUGUACACUGUAGCCAAGUUUAAGGCAGCAUUUCUCUGGGUCAGAGGAGAAGGAAGUUAUGACGAUGAAUCACGCGGCAUAACCUAUGACUGGCUUGAACAGAUGGGACCUUGUAAGGUACUAUACUAAGAAAGCCAAGUAUCUCCGGUUAUGUGUUUAUUAUCGAUGGCUUCAAACAUCCCGGGGAAA